UACGUAGGGUGCAAGCGUUAUUCGGAAUUACUGGGCGUAAAGCGUGCGCAGGCGGUUUGGUAAGACAGGUGUGAAAUCCCCGGGCUUAACCUGGGAAUUGCAUUUGUGACUGCCCGGCUAGAGUGUGUCAGAGGGGGGUAGAAUUCCACGUGUAGCAGUGAAAUGCGUAGAUAUGUGGAGGAAUACCGAUGGCGAAGGCAGCCCCCUGGGAUAACACUGACGCUCAUGCACGAAAGCGUGGGGAGCAAACAGG
This 253-nucleotide ribosomal RNA is filed under the name uncultured bacterium. Its description in RNAcentral is "partial 16S ribosomal RNA". It matches the Rfam family "Bacterial small subunit ribosomal RNA", at positions 524 to 776 of the family's 1533-position model. The record is from RNAcentral.